GUAGCAAUACCCCAGUGGCAGACGGGUGAGUAACACGUGGUCAACCUACCUCUGUGUGGGGGAUAACUAGCCGAAAGGUUAGCUAAUACCGCAUACGAUCGUUUUGAGGCAUCUCGAGACGAUGAAAGGAGCAAUCCGCACGGAGAGGGGACUGCGUCCCAUUAGUUAGUUGGUGGGGUAACGGCCUACCAAGACUCCGAUGGGUAGCUGGCUUGAGAGAGCGACCAGCCACACUGGAACUGAGACACGGUCCAGACUCCUACGGGAGGCAGCAGUGAGGAAUUUUCCGCAAUGGGCGAAAGCCUGACGGAGCGACGCCGCGUGUGGGAUGAAGGCCUUCGGG
RNAcentral lists this ribosomal RNA (343 nucleotides) under uncultured bacterium. RNAcentral's name for it is "bacterial SSU rRNA". It matches the Rfam family "Bacterial small subunit ribosomal RNA", at positions 72 to 422 of the family's 1533-position model. The record is from RNAcentral.